AAUGACAGAUAGCAACAGGGUCUCUUGCUUUUAGGGGGCUGUAGCCAUGUCCCCGAACAUGAAUCUGCAGAUUUUACAGCA
RNAcentral lists this small nucleolar RNA (81 nucleotides) under Sorex araneus (European shrew). RNAcentral's name for it is "Small nucleolar RNA SNORA68 (ENSSARG00000019826.1)". The record is from RNAcentral. Lineage: Eukaryota; Metazoa; Chordata; Mammalia; Eulipotyphla; Soricidae.